UUUCCUAGCUCCAACAAAAAUCUCUCAACCUAACAAAUGGGUGCCUAAUCCCCAAGGCUUGGCCUGACAACUAGCCAUCUCUCAUAUACAUAGGCACUUGGCUAUUUCUCAAGUUGCCUUUACAUAAAGUACGCAACCCAAAUACCCUCAUGCGGUGGCGAAGAUUGUCAUUGUGUUCACCAUCGGAUCAUAUGCCGAGCUGAUGGUGAAAACAUUUAUAACCAUCGGUAAGGCACCCUUUUGAGACCCCUCAGACUAUGAACUAGCGAAGAAAGUUCAAGCGGUGAUUAAACUUUUUGCAGUAGUGAUUGGGUAUCUCCCUCCAUGCAUAUCUCAUUCUAUACAAGGUUUUGUGAAUGGUGAAACUGGCCACAUUGUAUUUGUCACUUGCAAAUUUUCAGAACUAUGCGCAGACCUUAAAACAAGUGUAUCCACUGUUGCAUAACUCUCCCUCUCUUCCUAGCACGAUUGGUUUAUUGCUUGAGUAUUGCUCUCGUGAACCUCCCAAAGAAAUUUGUACCCAUCUUAAAGCAACUUAAUCACACUAUAAAAGAGUGAACCUUUCUGAGGGGGAUUUUCCUCUAUAAUAACCGUUCGAUCUAAACGUCAUGCUAUAUGAGGUCUCCCGUCAUGCUAGAUCUUACUCUUCUUCUAUAACAACUGUUUGAUCCACACAUCGUGCAAUAUGAGCCUUCGGUUAUCCCUAAUCUUACAUGUAAGACAUAAAUCUCCUAUUCAAUCUCAAAUAUGUCUCACAGUAUAAGACUUUUUAAACUGGGACUCCUAUUCCAAAUAAUCUGUUUUUUUUUUGUAUUUUUUUAGAAAGGUAUGUUAGACUUUUUGGACUGGGAUUCUUAUUCUAAAUAAUCUGAUUAUUUCUUUCCAUAUUUUUUUGGGAAACUUUUUCCUUCCGUGCGUAUAAGGUCCGCUCGGCUUCCCAUACAAAUUAAAGGCCCCUCAGACAGAAUCCUUCUCCGAUCCAAUGUUGCUCUUCCACGUCCUUACGUUUUUUCUUUACCUUCUUUUGGUUUCCGUCUAAACUUAUUAUAUACGUAUUUGACCCAUUAAGCCUUUCAUCAUAAAUAAAUAUUUUAAUCACUAAUUGUUGAUAUAAUUUUAAUUAGUAAUAGAACUUAUUAUUUUUUUGAGAGAACAGGAGAGGUAAAGGACCUCUACUGAAAUUUAUUAGAGCAAAACACAAAACAGAGAAAGAGAGUUACAAAGAUUACAAAAAGGUUACACAAAAGCACAUGGAACUGAUUCAAGAGACAGAAAAAGAAACUAAGAAAAUUGACUUAAUUACACAAUUUGCUCUAGCCAUAAUUCUAUUUGGGGGGAAGUACUUUUUCUUCACUUUCCAAAGGAGUUGCUUGAAGAAACUAAGAGUUGAAGGCCCCGAAGACUGCUAGCUAGGAUUCCUCUAAAAUUGCAUCAUUUCUGACAGACGAGAUGCUACAGCACAUAAUAAUGAUCACCUCCAUGAAGAAACUCUUGCCAAUUCGGGUUCUGAAACUUUCAAACCUCUGAACCAUGCAUGCGAACUGAUCACAGUUAGACCAAUCAGCGCCCAACAAUCUCUUGCAAAGCCACACUCCAAGAACAGAUGGUCCACAGAUUCCUCAACAUUUUCUCCACAAAGCACACAAGAAUAAGAAGGGAAGAACAUAUGUUUUCUUCUCAGCAAAUUCCUGGUGCUGACUCUGUCUUGAAGAACAAGCCAAAAAAAACACCUUGUGCUUCGGCUAGCA
This 1748-nucleotide long non-coding RNA is filed under the name Sorghum bicolor (sorghum). Its description in RNAcentral is "long non-coding RNA (SBIC_LNC018057)". Lineage: Eukaryota; Viridiplantae; Streptophyta; Magnoliopsida; Poales; Poaceae. The record is from RNAcentral.